CCGGUAAACGGCGGCCGUAACUAUAACGGUCCUAAGGUAGCGAAAUUCCUUGUCGGGUAAGUUCCGACCUGCACGAAUGGCGUAAUGAUGGCCAGGCUGUCUCCACCCGAGACUCAGUGAAAUUGAACUCGCUGUGAAGAUGCAGUGUACCCGCGGCAAGACGGAAAGACCCCGUGAACCUUUACUAUAGCUUGACACUGAACAUUGAGCCUUGAUGUGUAGGAUAGGUGGGAGGCUUUGAAGUGUGGACGCCAGUCUGCAUGGAGCCGGCCUUGAAAUACCACCCUUUAAUGUUUGAUGUUCUAACGUUGGCCCGUAAUCCGGGUUGCGGACAGUGUCUGGUGGGUAGUUUGACUGGGGCGGUCUCCUCCUAAAGAGUAACGGAGGAGCACGAAGGUUGGCUAAUCCUGGUCGGACAUCAGGAGGUUAGUGCAAUGGCAUAAGCCAGCUUGACUGCGAGCGUGACGGCGCGAGCAGGUGCGAAAGCAGGUCAUAGUGAUCCGGUGGUUCUGAAUGGAAGGGCCAUCGCUCAACGGAUAAAAGGUACUCCGGGGAUAACAGGCUGAUACCGCCCAAGAGUUCAUAUCGACGGCGGUGUUUGGCACCUCGAUGUCGGCUCAUCACAUCCUGGGGCUGAAGUAGGUCCCAAGGGUAUGGCUGUUCGCCAUUUAAAGUGGUACGCGAGCUGGGUUUAGAACGUCGUGAGACAGUUCGGUCCCUAUCUGCCGUGGGCGCUGGAGAACUGAGGGGGGCUGCUCCUAGUACGAGAGGACCGGAGUGGACGCAUCACUGGUGUUCGGGUUGUCAUGCCAAUGGCACUGCCCGGUAGCUAAAUGCGGAAGAGAUAAGUGCUGAAAGCAUCUAAGCACGAAACUUGCC
RNAcentral lists this ribosomal RNA (879 nucleotides) under Escherichia coli. Its description in RNAcentral is "partial 23S ribosomal RNA". It matches the Rfam family "Bacterial large subunit ribosomal RNA", at positions 1920 to 2798 of the family's 2925-position model. Lineage: Bacteria; Pseudomonadati; Pseudomonadota; Gammaproteobacteria; Enterobacterales; Enterobacteriaceae. The record is from RNAcentral.